AGUGAACGCUGGCGGUAGGCCUAACACAUGCAAGUCGAACGGCAGCACAGUAAGAGCUUGCUCUUACGGGUGGCGAGUGGCGGACGGGUGAGGAAUACAUCGGAAUCUACUUUUUCGUGGGGGAUAACGUAGGGAAACUUACGCUAAUACCGCAUACGACCUACGGGUGAAAGCAGGGGAUCUUCGGACCUUGCGCGAUUGAAUGAGCCGAUGUCGGAUUAGCUAGUUGGCGGGGUAAAGGCCCACCAAGGCGACGAUCCGUAGCUGGUCUGAGAGGAUGAUCAGCCACACUGGAACUGAGACACGGUCCAGACUCCUACGGGAGGCAGCAGUGGGGAAUAUUGGACAAAGGGCGCAAGCCUGAUCCAGCCAUACCGCGUGGGUGAAGAAGGCCUUCGGGUUGUAAAGCCCUUUUGUUGGGAAAGAAAAGCAGCAGGUUAAUACCCCGCUGUUCUGACAGUACCCAAAGAAUAAGCACCGGCUAACUUCGUG
This 492-nucleotide ribosomal RNA is filed under the name uncultured bacterium. Its description in RNAcentral is "partial 16S ribosomal RNA". It matches the Rfam family "Bacterial small subunit ribosomal RNA", at positions 29 to 507 of the family's 1533-position model. The record is from RNAcentral.